Molecule: ribosomal RNA, 253 nt
Filed under: uncultured bacterium
Lineage: Bacteria
Description: partial 16S ribosomal RNA
Rfam family: Bacterial small subunit ribosomal RNA
Source: RNAcentral
UACGGAGGGGGCUAGCGUUAUUCGGAAUCACUGGGCGUAAAGCGCGUGUAGGCGGUUUGGAAAGUCAGAGGUGAAAUCCCAGAGCUUAACUUUGGAAUUGCCUUUGAAACUCCCAGACUUGAAUUCGGUAGAGGAUAGUGGAAUUCCUAGUGUAGAGGUGAAAUUCGUAGAUAUUAGGAGGAACACCAGUGGCGAAGGCGACUAUCUGGGCCGAUAUUGACGCUAAGACGCGAAAGCGUGGGGAGCAAACAGG